Molecule: small nuclear RNA, 107 nt
Organism: Balaenoptera musculus (blue whale)
Lineage: Eukaryota; Metazoa; Chordata; Mammalia; Artiodactyla; Balaenopteridae
Source: Ensembl
GUGCUCGCUUUAGCAGCACAUGUACUAAAAUUGGAAUGAUACAGAGAAGAUUAGCAUGGCCCCUGCAUAAGCAUGACAUGCAAAUUCGUGAAACAUUCCAUAAUUUA